Molecule: long non-coding RNA, 1994 nt
Organism: Oryctolagus cuniculus (rabbit)
Lineage: Eukaryota; Metazoa; Chordata; Mammalia; Lagomorpha; Leporidae
Source: RefSeq, a predicted model, not a curated record
CGGCCGGGCUGGUGGGGCGGGGGCGCUCGGCCCGGGACUCGGGGCGGGGGGCGGGGGCGGCGGCCCGAGGAGGUGUGGGGCGGGGAGGGGGCUCGGGAGGCACCGGGCGCCGUUAGCGCCCUGGCAUCGCUGUUUUGUUGUUGGGUCACGAGUGCGCCUCUGCACGCAGGCGCCGCCGCCGCCCGGGAGUUGGGUGCAGAGCUGACUUUUGGAGGACUGAGUUGCAGGCGGCGGGUGCAUCCCGGAGAUGGCGGGGCAGGGAGGGAGGGAAGGAGGAGGGGGUGGGGAGGGAGGUGCAGAUUUGCACGGCUGGCCUCAGCGGGAGGCGCGGAAAUGCAAGCCGAGCGUGCUGGCGUGAAAGCCCCCGGGGCCUGGCAGCCCCUAAAACGACCCCCCUCACCUUAGUCCCUGCCCCCAUGGCCCCGAGCUGCCCCUCUUCCUCUUCCUUCGUCGGUAACCUGCGUGGCUGACCCAAAUUCAAAGCGUUUUGUGUGUGUGUGUGUGUAUAUAUAUACAUGGGCUGGUUGUUUUUUUUUUUUUUUUUUUUGGCUUUGCAUGUCUUUCGUGGGGGGAGGGGCGACCCUCUCUAGACCCCUGUUUGCGGACCUGCCAUUUGGAAGAGGCAAAGGAGGGAGGGGGCUCAGAAGAAAAUGAGCACAGACCCCCCCCUCCCUGACUGCAGAGACUGCAUAACUUUUAAAGUCCCGGGGCUCAAAGAUAAGGGGCACCCGCACCCCCCAACACUCCCACACACACACACACACACACACAGGUACAGGAAACACAGCUAGACCAGAGCCUUUUCAGACCGCUGACCGGAAGACGUUGCCUUUCAUUCAUUCAUUCUGCCCGCCUCUGUGGAGUCCUUUUACUGGGCGACGAGCCCUGAAACCCAAGGUGGACGUUUUUAAGAGGUCCUGCGCUCGCCGCCGAGAGGAGGCAAUGGAUGCUCCGGAGUGAGAAACCCAAAGAAUCGGAUCUGGCGCCUCCUGACGCAGCUCGCCAGCAAGCUAAGGGUUGACUGAACAGCUCUGUGCCCAAAGACAGAGAGAAAGAUAGAAGGAACAGCUCCAAUUAAAGGCAUUCUCUGGCCUGGGCCAAGGGAUGAACCAAUGGCUUCCCGAAGAAAGAAGAGUUCACACUGGAUGGAGCCCUCAGAAUCCGGGAUUUUCAAGCUGCUAAGGAACUGAAGCUAUUCUCACAUUUUUAUAAGUUCAUGGGAAAAUGGAAUUAAAAGAUAGUUUUAUUUAACAACAACAACAAAAAAGAAAUCCAAGCAUAGAAUUUUUUCAUAACAUUUUCUAUGAAUUUUUGGAAGACCACUGGUAUGCAUGGAUUCUAAAUUUUUGCACCAAAAUGAAAUUAUCUGUUAUUGCAUUUUCCAGAAACUUUUUGAGUACCCUCAAAUAAUUUCAGUAGCUCUCAAGUUCAAGAAGUUAGUUUUUGAGCAAAGGCUCUUCCACAUGCUCCUGAAUCCUCACCAGAGCUCUGGUGGAGGCCGUGGUGUUCUCCACUUUAUAUCUGAGGCCCAAGGAGAAGCCAAGCUGCUUGGCCAAACUUUACAGCUAUAGAAAAACAGUGUCAGGAUUUGAACCCAGAGCUUGUUGGAACCCACUGGAUUCACCACUGUACUAUGCCUCUCCCCAGGGGUUUUCCUUUUAUAAAAAAGAGUGGGGAAACUUUCCCGCCAAAGGGCCAUGUGGAUAUUUAUAAUAUCAACUUAAAAAUUAUCCUGCUAUAGAUUUACUGAAUUCCAAGUCCAGCAUGUAGUUGCCUUGGCAGAGCCAGACCAAAUGAUUUCUCAGGCCAAACUUCACCCACCUCUGCCUUAGAACUGUACCAUGGAAAUAUUCUGUAUUUGUGCUGUCCCACACAAUCCCCUCUAGCCACAUGUAGAUACGGGGCAACUGAAAUGUGGGUGCUGGGCUCAGGGAACUGAAUGUUUUCAAGUUUAUUUUAAUCAUACUUAAAUAAAUACAAGAGGAUGUCUAAAA